CCAUGGAGAUUGAAGCAGGCAGGCUUGGCCCUGAGUGUCACCGCCAUCUGUUUGGGCAGAUACCCUGGAUCCUGCUCAAAGUCACAAGUGAGAAGAGUCCCUGAGGACACUGUGGAUUUUUGUCUCUCAGUUGUGGUGGCCCAGGCUGGAGAGUGUCACCAUGCUUCAUGACCAGGUCCCAGAAGACCACAAGCUGGACAAAUGGGCCCUUCUACUUGGGACUAAAACCACACUUCUUGGAAGAGCAACCACAACAGCAAGACAGGUGCCCAGUAAAUCAUGGAUCAUGAACAGUACACUGCACUGGAGCGGCAGGACUGUG
Fukomys damarensis (Damara mole-rat) is the source of this 322-nucleotide long non-coding RNA. RefSeq lists it as uncharacterized. The transcript is spliced from 3 exons. Lineage: Eukaryota; Metazoa; Chordata; Mammalia; Rodentia; Bathyergidae. The record is from RefSeq and is a predicted model, not a curated record.